CGACGGGUGAGUAACGCGUAUGCAACUUACCUAUCAGAGGGGGAUAACCCGGCGAAAGUCAGACUAAUACCGCAUGAAGCAGGGGCCCCGCAUGGGGAUAUUUGCUAAAGAUUCAUCGCUGAUAGAUAGGCAUGCGUUCCAUUAGGCAGUUGGCGGGGUAACGGCCCACCAAGCCGACGAUGGAUAGGGGUUCUGAGAGGAAGGUCCCCCACAUUGGUACUGAGACACGGACCAA
This 235-nucleotide ribosomal RNA is filed under the name uncultured bacterium. Its description in RNAcentral is "partial 16S ribosomal RNA". It matches the Rfam family "Bacterial small subunit ribosomal RNA", at positions 102 to 334 of the family's 1533-position model. The record is from RNAcentral.